UUCGUACCCAUAUCCGCAGCAGGACUCCAAGGUGAACAGCCUCUGGUCAAUAGAACAAUGUAGGUAAGGUAAGUCGGCAAAAUGGAUCCGUAACCUCGGGAAAAGGAUUGGCUCUGAGGACUGGGCCGGUCGGGCUGGGGUCCGAAGCGGGUCUGGCACUGUGCGGGGACUGGGCGAGACUAACUGGCAACGGUACGGUCGAGCUCGGACCUUCGUCGGGGCCCUCUCGUGAAAGGCUUCAGCUGUGCGCCCCCGUGGGUUGCUUCACGGCGCCUGCGUGGGGCGUUUCGACCGGCAGCAAACAGCCGACUCAGAACUGGCACGGACCGGGGGGAUUCGGACGGUCUAAUUAAAACAAA
Molecule: ribosomal RNA, 359 nt
Filed under: Chloropicon mariensis
Lineage: Eukaryota; Viridiplantae; Chlorophyta; Chloropicophyceae; Chloropicales; Chloropicaceae
Description: partial Eukaryotic large subunit ribosomal RNA
Rfam family: Eukaryotic large subunit ribosomal RNA
Source: RNAcentral